CGCAAAUAAAAUUAGAAAUAUAUUCAAAUGAAAUACAAUAAAUUGAGAAAUCAAAAUCUAAAAUAUUUAUAUAAUUUGUCAAACCCCUUCAAAUAUUUCUAAUAGAUCCCUAAAAAUAAAUAAUACAAAUAAACUCUCAAGUUAUACAAGUACAAAAACAAUAAUUAUUUUUAUUAUUCCAAUUUUUUUUAAAUAAAUAAUAAUAAUAAAAACCAUGGCAGCUUCACCAGCUCUUUCUGCUUCUCCCACUACGGCACCAUUGAACCCUUCCUUCCAUGGCAGCUUCACCAGUUCCUUCUAGUUCACCCGCUCUUCCAUUGUUGACCAACAUUUUUUUUCCGUCGACGGAGUCCACCACUGUUAAUUGAAGUUGGGGGUUACGUCCACUGAUACUUUAAUAGAUGGAUGUUGAGAUUGAUGACCAGAAACGCCAUCGAAAGCUUUGGUAUUUUGAACAUAAAAAUUUCAGAUUGAGUUGUUUCUCCAUUUUAGACAAAUCAAGAUCUCGUGGAAUGUUGAAAGUUUGAUCGAGGGGCAAUAUUCCCCCACCGAAUUGUUUCAUCGAGUGGGCCUAGUGUCUUGGUCGAAAAAACUGGAAGUGGCUUCAACCCAGUUCACAGUAUCGGUCCAGGAAGGGGAUAGAGUAGAGAAAACGGGUAACCGGUGUCUGAAUCGGGCAGGAGAUGACAAGGUUAACCGUGUGCACCCAUUGGAAAGAGGGACCGCCAUUGAAGACGGCAGUAGCUCAAAGCUUCUGUGGGUUUUUUCUUUUUGUUGUUAAAAAAGGUUCAGUGGAGAUUUGUGUUGUAUGGUUCUGGAUGGAAUUUUACGGAAUAAAUCAUAUUAAGAUAU
RNAcentral lists this long non-coding RNA (852 nucleotides) under Gossypium barbadense (sea-island cotton). Its description in RNAcentral is "long non-coding RNA (GBAR_LNC019465)". The record is from RNAcentral. Lineage: Eukaryota; Viridiplantae; Streptophyta; Magnoliopsida; Malvales; Malvaceae.